Molecule: ribosomal RNA, 429 nt
Filed under: Gemmatimonadota bacterium
Lineage: Bacteria; Pseudomonadati; Gemmatimonadota
Description: Gemmatimonadetes bacterium partial 16S ribosomal RNA
Rfam family: Bacterial small subunit ribosomal RNA
Source: RNAcentral
UAGGGAAUCUUCGGCAAUGGACGAAAGUCUGACCGAGCAACGCCGCGUGAGUGAAGAAGGUUUUCGGAUCGUAAAACUCUGUUGUUAGAGAAGAACAAGGACGUUAGUAACUGAACGUCCCCUGACGGUAUCUAACCAGAAAGCCACGGCUAACUACGUGCCAGCAGCCGCGGUAAUACGUAGGUGGCAAGCGUUGUCUGGAUUUAUUGGGCGUAAAGCGAGCGCAGGCGGUUUCUUAAGUCUGAUGUGAAAGCCCCCGGCUCAACCGGGGAGGGUCAUUGGAAACUGGGAGACUUGAGUGCAGAAGAGGAGAGUGGAAUUCCAUGUGUAGCGGUGAAAUGCGUAGAUAUAUGGAGGCACACCAGUGGCGAAGGCGGCUCUCUGGUCUGUAACUGACGCUGAGGCUCGAAAGCGUGGGGAGCAAACAGG